RNAcentral lists this long non-coding RNA (1440 nucleotides) under Homo sapiens (human). RNAcentral describes it as "HSALNT0125075". Lineage: Eukaryota; Metazoa; Chordata; Mammalia; Primates; Hominidae. The record is from RNAcentral.
UUUCUUUUUAAAUGUUUAUGGUAGAAGAACAUCAAGUAUAGUUGUCAACAGACUUCUUAAUAUUACUGGUUGUGCCUGUGCCUCCAAAGCAUGGAUUUGAUAGCUCCAAUAUUGUAAUCUAAAUUUCCUGGCAAUGCCCCCACUGCUGGAUAGAUUGCUGUUGACAGCUUUUGACCAGAGGGAGCCAUUAGAUUUUGCUGGCUAGCAAACAAUUACAGCUUUGAUAUGAGCUACAAGGGUAUUUAUUACAAAGGAAAGCAGGGUGAGAACCCUCUGACAGACAUGAGGCCAUGAGGCUUUAUAUGAAAACCUCAAGCAUCUGUGACUGACUGGCAUAAAACCAUGAGUAUAAAACGCUUCAGAUCUGAUCCACCUCACCUUUCUGGAUUUGAUUUCUAGCUUUUCUACUCACUAGGCUCUACCUCUCCCCUGAGUAUUAGAAGUCUGAAAAGAAGAGCUGUCUCCAUGAAGAUGGGCCAAAUGCCCUCCCUCCUGUGGCUGAUUGUGCUACAUCAUCCCAACAUGAUAAACCAGAAAUCUUUGACAUUGUGAAGUCAGCAUGUGAUGGUCAUAAGAACACAAGACUUGGGGAAGGUGACAAGCCAGGGUUUAUAUUGAUGCUCUCCAUUGUUAGCUACAUAGUCACAGAAAGUAGCUGACUAUGUUUGAAAGGCAGGUAUUAAAAACAUUACUUUAGGGGAAAGAGGUAUAUAGGUUUUACGUGUCACCACAGAAGGCAAAACUAGGACUUCCUGAUAGAUAUGAUAGGAGUAUAUAUUUUCAACGUAAUACACUGAAAAAUCUUCAUUGAAGCAACUUCAAAAUGAAAUUUAAUGUUUUAUGAAACACAAUUUCUUCAUCCUUAAAUGUAUUUUAGUAGAGAAAAUGUGACUACGAGUUAAAGAAAGAAAUGCAUGUAUCAGAUGAGAAAGAAGGGAGGUUGCAUGAGGAAGCAGCAAAAGAUGUUUCCAAUCUGAGAUUUUCAAAUUCUCUAGUUUUAGUUUAAUUGAAUUGGCUUAAAUUAAACUCUCAUUCAAGUAUAUUUUAUACUUGAAUUUCAGGACUAUAUUCGUUUAUAGAAACAAAGUGUACUAAAUGUAAAACUUCUUUAUCAAAUGGAUAUAUACUAUAAAAUAACUUUCAAACUUAAUUUGUGUAGAAUUUGUACUUGGAUUUAGGGAUGUAUGAGCCAAUAUUAUGUUUAAUUCUUUAGUGGUUGAGAAAAUUUUAAUACAUUUCUUGGGGAAUCUAUACGCAUGUACAUACACAACAGAUUUUGUGAUAAUUCUGUACAACUAUCUACUGCUCUACUUUUCUCAUUGUUCCCAAAUACUGAAAAAUUCAGAACAUUAUAUUUUCUUUGAAAUGAAUAGAUUAUUUAUCAAAGAAAUUACACUAUUAAUCUUAGAGUUUCUAUAGUGAUUCAAACAUCAUUUACAU